CGGUUCCCGUUUGAGCGCCUCAAUGGCAGGUGGUGCGGAGUUUACGCAAAGGCGCCGCAGAGAUCCGUGUCUCACCGUGGCUUCUUUUUUCCAUUUGCGUCGGUGGAGUCGGUUUUAUAAGUCCCUUCUCUGCCAGCAGAUUUCGGUGGGGGGUCGGAAGGGUUGCAGAUCCCUGAACAGUCAAACUCUGAUCUUGAAAAGACUACCAUUUCUUAGAUCUACGAUGAAAACCGGAAUCCGGACUGAGGCGUCGCUGGUGCCCAUUUUUGUUUCUGGUUUCAUUUUCCUUUUUUUGAUUUGUUGGCGGUCUGGAAAGGUUGCGCUCUAAAAGAAUGAGUACAGACUCCAGGUUUAUCCCCGCAAAUCAGAUCUGGAAGAUGAGACAGAUCGCUGUGCCAAUACAUUUUAUUUUAAACACUAAAAGGACCUCAGCCUGGCCAAAAGAGUAGAUGCAGUUCACCAAGCUUUAUAUGGUUGAAAGAAAAAAAAAAAACGGAAUCCCUUUCUAGUGGCCUUGACUUGACAAGCGUAAAUAAUGAUCGAAACUAAAAA
Python bivittatus (Burmese python) is the source of this 552-nucleotide non-coding RNA. The record is from RefSeq and is a predicted model, not a curated record. Lineage: Eukaryota; Metazoa; Chordata; Lepidosauria; Squamata; Pythonidae.